RNAcentral lists this unclassified non-coding RNA (330 nucleotides) under soil metagenome. RNAcentral's name for it is "partial contains 5.8S ribosomal RNA, internal transcribed spacer 2, and large subunit ribosomal RNA". The stretch from base 1 to 120 matches the Rfam family "5.8S ribosomal RNA", at positions 35 to 154 of the family's 154-position model. The record is from RNAcentral.
GAUGAAGAACGUAGCGAAAUGCGAUAAGUAAUGUGAAUUGCAGAAUUCAGUGAAUCAUCGAAUCUUUGAACGCACAUUGCGCCCCUUGGUAUUCCGGGGGGCAUGCCUGUUCGAGCGUCAUUUCAACCCUCAAGCUUCUGCUUGGUCUUGGGCCGUGUCGGCAACGGCUGGCCUUAAAACUAGUGGCGGUGCCAUCGAGCUCUACGCGUAGUAAUUCUAUCUCGCGUCUGGGCUUCGGUGGACGCUGGCCAGCAACCCCCAAUUUUCUAUGGUUGACCUCGGAUCAGGUAGGGAUACCCGCUGAACUUAAGCAUAUCAAUAAGCGGAGGA